This 240-nucleotide unclassified non-coding RNA is filed under the name soil metagenome. RNAcentral's name for it is "partial contains 5.8S ribosomal RNA, internal transcribed spacer 2, and large subunit ribosomal RNA". The record is from RNAcentral.
AACAAGGCGUACCUGCGGACCUGCGGAGGGAUCAUUACACAAUAAACAUAUGAAGGCUGCACCGCCAACAGGCGGCAAGGCUGGAGUAUUUUAUUACCCUUGUCUUUUGCGCACUUGUUGUUUCCUGGGCGGGUUCGCCCGCCUCCAGGACCACAUGAUAAACCUUUUUUAUGCAGUUGCAAUCAGCGUCAGUACAACAAAUGUAAAUCAUUUACAACUUUCAACAAUGGAUCUCAGAUC